RNAcentral lists this long non-coding RNA (1866 nucleotides) under Homo sapiens (human). RNAcentral describes it as "HSALNT0284379". The record is from RNAcentral. Lineage: Eukaryota; Metazoa; Chordata; Mammalia; Primates; Hominidae.
GAAAAUUCUUUUCUUUAAGAAUGUUGAAUAUUGGCCCCCACUCUCUUCUGGCUUGUAGGGUUUCUGCCGAGAGAUCUGCUGUUAGUCUGAUGGGCUUCCCUUUUAGGGUAACCUGACCUUUCUCUCUGGCUGCCCUUAACAUUUUUUCCUUCAUUUCAACUUUGAUGAAUCUGACAAUUCUGUGUCUUGGAGUUGCUCUUCUCGAGGAGUAUCUUUGUGGCGUUCUCUGUAUUUCCUGAAUCUGAACUUUGGCCUGCCUUGCUAGAUUGGGGAAGUUUUCCUGGAUAAUAUCCCGCAGAGUGUUUUCCAACUUGGUUCCAUUCUCCCUGUCACUUUCACGUACACCAAUCAGUCGUAAAUUUGGUCUUUUCACAUAGUCCCAUAUUUCUUGGAGGCUUUGCUCGUUUCUUUUUAUUGUUUUUUCUCUAAACUUCCCUUCUUGCUUCAUUUCAUUCAUUUCAUCUUCCAUUGCUGAUACCCUUUCUUCCAGUUGAUCGCAUCGGCUCCUGAGGCUUCUGCAUUCUUCACGUAUUUCUCGAGCCUUGGUUUUCAGCUCCAUCAGCUCCUUUAAGCACUUCUCUAUAUUGGUUAUUCUAGUUAUACAUUCUUCUAAAUUUUUUUCAAAGUUUUCAACUUCUUUGCCUUUGGUUUGAAUGUCCUCCCGUAGCUCAGAGUAAUUUGAUCGUCUGAAGCCGCCUUCUCUCAGCUCGUCAAAGUCAUUCUCCAUCCAGCUUUGUUCCAUUGCUGGUGAGGAACUGCGUUCCUUUGGAGGAGGAGAGGCGCUGUGCUUUUUAAAGUUUCCAGUUUUUCUGUUCUGUUUUUUCCCCAUCUUUGUGCUUUUACUUUUGGUCUUUGAUGAUGGUGAUGUACAGAUGGGUUUUUGGUGUGGAUGUCCUUUCUGUUUGUUAGUUUUCCUUCUAACAGACAGGACCCUCAGCUGCAGGUCUGUUGGAGUACCCUGCAGUGUGAGGUGUCAGUGUGCCCCUGCUGGGGGGUGCCUCCCAGUUAGGCUGCUCGCGGGUCAGGGGUCAGGGACCCACUUGAGGAGGCAGUCUGCCCAUUCUCAGAUCUCCAGCUGCGUGCUGGGAGAACCACUGCUCUCUUCAAAGCUGUCAGACAGGGACAUUUAAGUCUGCAGAGGUUACUGCUGUCUUUUUGUUUGUCUGUGCCCUGCCCCCAGAGGUGGAGCCUACAGAGGCAGGCAAGCCUCCUUGAGCUGUGGUGGGCUCCACCCAGUUGGAGCUUCAGGGCUGCUUCGUUUACCUAAGGAAGCCUGGGCAAUGGCGGGCGCCCCUCCCCCAGCCUCGCUGCUGCCUUGCAGUUUGAUCUCAGACCGCUGUGCUAGCAAUCAGCGAGACUCCGUGGGCGUUGGACCCCCCGAGCCAGAUGUGGGAUAUAAUCUCGUGGUGCGCCGUUUUUUAAGCCUGUCAGAAAUGCGCAGUAUUCGGGUGGGAGUGACCCGAUUUUCCAGGUGCCGUCCGUCACCCCUUUAUUUGACUAGGAAAGGGAACUCCCUGACCCCUUGCACUUCCCGAGUGAGGCAAUGCCUCGCCCUGCUUUGGCUCGCGCACGGUGCGUGCACCCACUGACCUGCGCCCACUGUCUGGCACUCCCUAGUGAGAUGAACCCGGUACCUCAGGUGGAAAUGAAGAAAUCACCCGUCUUCUGCGUCGCUCAGGCUGGGAGCUGUAGACCGGAGCUGUUCCUAUUCGGCCAUCUUGGCUCCUCCCCGUGACUUUCAAAUAAAACUCAGUACAAAACAAGCAGACACCCAUGGCCUUUCCAUGUCUAAGGAUAGUUUCCUGUUCAAGUAACUGACCUUACAGACAGAACCUCAGAGGAGAACCAACUAGAUCUGCAUCAAAG